GGCCAGACUCCUACGGGAGGCAGCAGUGGGGAAUAUUGCACAAUGGGGGAAACCCUGAUGCAGCGACGCCGCGUGAGCGAAGAAGUAUUUCGGUAUGUAAAGCUCUAUCAGCAGGGAAGAAAAUGACGGUACCUGAGUAAGAAGCUCCGGCUAAAUACGUGCCAGCAGCCGCGGUAAUACGUAUGGAGCAAGCGUUAUCCGGAUUUACUGGGUGUAAAGGGGGCGCAGACGGCGAUGCAAGCCAGGAGUGAAAGCCCGGGGCCCAACCCUGGGACUGCUCUUGGAACUGCGUGGCUGGAGUGCAGGAGGGGCAGGCGGAAUUCCUGGUGUAGCGGUGAAAUGCGUAGAUAUCAGGAGGAACACCGGUGGCGAAGGCGGCCUGCUGGACUGCAACUGACGUUGAGGCCCGAAAGCGUGGGGAGCAAACAGGAUUAGAUACCCGAGUAAA
This 448-nucleotide ribosomal RNA is filed under the name uncultured bacterium. Its description in RNAcentral is "bacterial SSU rRNA". It matches the Rfam family "Bacterial small subunit ribosomal RNA", at positions 329 to 794 of the family's 1533-position model. The record is from RNAcentral.